GCCCGGGAGGUCCCUUCUGCCUCGCUCUGUUUCUAUGUUUCUAAAUCUUUAUGGCUGUAAAGCAGAUGAUAUCUGGCCUUUAUUUUGGGUGGGGGUGAUUGCUGUGCACUGAUGCCUAAUGUUGAGGAGCAUGCACACAUUCAUUUUGGGUUUUAGGGUUACCACUGCUCUUCAUUUCCCCCAGAGUUUCAUUAUGUGCUCCAUAGCAGUGGUUUUCAACUCUGUGGUUCCCACUCUGCCGUGUAGCCAACUGGAUGAUUCGGGUCACUCACUCUCAGCCUACAGGGUUGUUGUUUUGAGGAUAAAAUGGAGAGGAGAAGAACCUUGUGAGUUGUCAUGGCUUCCUUCCAGGAGGAAAAAAAACAAUAUAUGCAAUGUAAUAGUAGGAAUCCUGUGCUUGCUCAUAAUUUAGCCAUGCCUCUGAUGAGAGUAUCAUUUUUUAUCUGCAAACAAGUUGUAUUUGCAAGUUAAAAAUGCUUCCAUCAGAAUUAAUGGAGAAACUAAAACAGCUGUUCAGCUCUUUUGUCUCAGACACAAUGGAAGGCAGGAUUCUAACUAUGUAGCCAAUCAUAGCAUGCCCCCACAUAGAUAAAAGCCUCGGCCGGAAAGCAAAGACUGCAUAUAUCGAGAUGUGAGAUUCAGCGCUACAUUACUCCACUUCCAAGUCUAAAGAAUGCAGCCACACAGAUAGCGACUGGGCAAAGGAAUGUUUACUUGUUUGCACAAAUGGCCAACAGCCAAGGCAAGGCAUGAAUGGCAAGGCAAUGACAUUUGUCUUCUCAGAAUCUUUGCAGGUACCUUGCCUUAGGACAAACAACUAGCAGUCUCCUGAACUGUGUUGUUGCAACUGGGCCUGCAAGGACAAGGCACUCACAACAGGAAACCAGGAAUUCUCUUAAUAGUCACAAAGGCCAAGAUAUCCCCCACCAUGCCAUCCUCGAUGGCAUGCAGAUCUUUUGCAAGAACUGCAGCAGCAGUAUCGACCAUGUGGGAAACCAGCUGUUUUCUCUGAAAUUGUCCGGUUUUUCUUCCACCCGGGUUCCUGUGCCUUUGCAGGAUACAUGGUGGACUGAAAUGUCACAUAUGUAAUGUUGCUAAGCAUGUAUAAGCACAGUUUUAAAACCACGGGAGCCUCUCCAUAAAUAAAGGGUUGGUGGCCCCUCUCAUCCAAGUUGUUUUCAGAAUUUGUUCCACAACAUAUGAUGUUCAAUAAAAGCGAUGCCUUUCA
This is a long non-coding RNA of Varanus komodoensis (Komodo dragon), 1228 nucleotides long. RefSeq lists it as uncharacterized. Lineage: Eukaryota; Metazoa; Chordata; Lepidosauria; Squamata; Varanidae. The record is from RefSeq and is a predicted model, not a curated record. The transcript has 2 exons.